UAAUAUACUCCUGCAGGACAAGUGCUCA
Molecule: non-coding RNA, 28 nt
Filed under: Rattus norvegicus (Norway rat)
Lineage: Eukaryota; Metazoa; Chordata; Mammalia; Rodentia; Muridae
Source: RNAcentral